Molecule: ribosomal RNA, 396 nt
Filed under: uncultured bacterium
Lineage: Bacteria
Description: bacterial SSU rRNA
Rfam family: Bacterial small subunit ribosomal RNA
Source: RNAcentral
GACGAACGCUGGCGGCGUGCUUAACACAUGCAAGUCGAGCGGUAAGGCCCUUUCGGGGGUACACGAGCGGCGAACGGGUGAGUAACACGUGGGUGACCUGCCCUCAGCUCUGGGAUAAGCCUGGGAAACCGGGUCUAAUACCGGAUAUGACUCCAUGACGCAUGUUGUGGGGUGGAAAGCCUUGUGCGGCUGAGGAUGGGCCCGCGGCCUAUCAGCUUGUUGGUGGGGUGAUGGCCUACCAAGGCGACGACGGGUAGCCGGCCUGAGAGGGCGACCGGCCACACUGGGACUGAGACACGGCCCAGACUCCUACGGGAGGCAGCAGUGGGGAAUCUUGCGCAAUGGGCGAAAGCCUGACGCAGCGACGCCGCGUGAGGGAUGACGGCCUGGUUGUAA